RNAcentral lists this ribosomal RNA (253 nucleotides) under uncultured bacterium. RNAcentral's name for it is "partial 16S ribosomal RNA". It matches the Rfam family "Bacterial small subunit ribosomal RNA", at positions 524 to 776 of the family's 1533-position model. The record is from RNAcentral.
UACGUAGGGUGCGAGCGUUAAUCGGAAUUACUGGGCGUAAAGCGUGCGCAGGCGGUUGUGCAAGACAGAGGUGAAAUCCCCGGGCUUAACCUGGGAACUGCCUUUGUGACUGCACGGCUAGAGUGUGUCAGAGGGGGGUAGAAUUCCACGUGUAGCAGUGAAAUGCGUAGAUAUGUGGAGGAAUACCGAUGGCGAAGGCAGCCCCCUGGGAUAACACUGACGCUCAUGCACGAAAGCGUGGGGGGCAAACAGG